UCCGGAUGUCGAGAACCAUUGCUAGAUGGUCACUUCGAUUAGUACAGAAAUUGGUUCCUGUGCAACCGGCUUAGGUUCGAACCUGUGGGGUCACACACAUUAGAGGUUUCUAUCUGAUCUGAUGGCUGAUGUAGAAUCCUACAUGUUUGAGACUCAGUGAUCGAGAAUCAAAAUUCUCUGAUCACGAGUUUCACACAUUAUGGGUACCAGGGUCA
This 215-nucleotide long non-coding RNA is filed under the name Elaeis guineensis (African oil palm). RNAcentral's name for it is "long non-coding RNA (EGUI_LNC048386)". The record is from RNAcentral. Lineage: Eukaryota; Viridiplantae; Streptophyta; Magnoliopsida; Arecales; Arecaceae.